Non-coding RNA from Mucidula mucida, 108 nucleotides. The record is from the annotation of a GenBank genome assembly. NCBI's taxonomy places the organism in Eukaryota, Fungi, Basidiomycota, Agaricomycetes, Agaricales, Physalacriaceae.
GGCUCAAUGGUCUAGUAGCAUGAUUCCUGCUUCGGGUGUUAAAGCCAAUGCUUAAUCGAGUAAGCAUUCAUUUGCAGGAGGUCCCGGGUUCAAUUCCCGGUUGAGCCC